ACAAGAUUGCUAAACUUCAGUCCCAUAGGUACUUCUAAUAAUGGCCAAUCUGGCCUGGCCAGCCAAAAUUACAAAUUUAAGGUAGAGUUACAUCAAGAUUGAGCUGUGUCAUUGAGUUCUGUAAUUUCUAGUAUUCUUCCCUUCAUUGUGGCCCAGUCUUCAUCUCGACAUAUUACUCCUACUCUGCCAACUUGGCUAUGCGUUUUAAGCCCACCUGCUGAACAGCACCAGGGACUAGUUUUACACUGGAGCUGGAGGAGGGAGGAGGCCUGUAACUGAAGCUCACAUUUCGUCUGGGGAUCUCAUUUAUACUCCCACUGCAUGUUCCCAUAUAGACCUUUGGUUUUCAGUAGUCGUCAGGAUCGGAACAUUACUCUAGCAGUCUUCAUGUUCAGGCAAGUUACAGCCCUUUUAAAAAGUUUUACAAUUUAAAAUUAUUUAGAAAUUGUAUCUAAUUUCCCCAUAAUAGAACUUAAUAGCUAACUUUUUGUAGAAAUUUCUUGGAAGUGUUUAAUCAACCUAUCAAGUGUUUAGAGGUAUAAAUUAGACAAUAUGACACAGAAACCAAUCUUAAACUGAAUUUAAUGCCCUACAGUAUCAGAUUAAGUUCAUCUUCUCUGUGAUUCAUGUCUUAUUUUUACUAGAUCACAUUAGAAGAUAAGGGGCACUUUGAUUAAGUUCUUAAAAUUUACAGAGGUACCAACUUCCAGUUAUAAAAUAAAGAAGUCACGGGUGAAAAGUACAGAAUGGGGGUGGGGAGAAUGUACUGAGGCUCAUUUGGAUAAAGGCAGUGCUCCUAAAGACUGUUUUUCCUGAAGACUUUUGUGAUGUAACAGUUUUGAGAAUUUCUCUGUAGAGCAGAGACUUUGAAACUUUUUGGUUGUAACUCACAGUAAAAAAUGCAUUUAUAUCAAAACUCAGCAUAUGCAUAAUGGAACGACAUUAUGUGUAGGGUACUCUGAUGCUUUUUAUUGUUUCAGUUUUAAAAUAUGCUGGUUGCAACCUACCAAAUUGAUUUCAUAAUCUACCAAUGGAUUGUGACCCUUAGUUUGAAAAGAAGAAAACACCUAAUGGAGGAACUGAUAUUUAUUGAAUAUCUUUUGUUUUCCAGGCACUUCACUAGGCAUUUUACAGGUAAGGACACUGAGUCUCAGAGAUGUUACAUGAUUUGCAGGGGGGUAUUCAGGUGUAAAAAGUUGAAGCCAGGAUGUUCACUAGGUCUCUUGAACUACAAAAAUUUCUAUUACUCUCCUACUAUGCUACUUCUGUAUAUAAAAUUGAGGUAGGCCAUUCGUCCUGCUUCAGCCAAACCCCAAUUUAUUCUGUAAGGCAGGCUUGCUGUGAAUUUACAUAUGCCAUUCGUUUGCAGUGGGUUUUUUUUUUUUCCUAAUCUUUUGUCACAAAGUGUCCCACAUCCUCAGAGUUUUCAAUAGUGGCUGAUGCAGAAGUACCCAGUGCUGAAUUUGGUCCUUAGACUAUGAAAUUAAAAAUGUUUCCAUUCCACCUGCACAUCCUACAAAUUUUCUUGUAUUCCAUGGGUUAGAGCCAUCUCUUAAGCAGUGCUUUUUGAUAUUAACAAUGAACUCUACUGCAAAAUCUAUCAUAACUCAUAGAAUCAAAUGAUUACACUCCUUUAAAAUGGUACCCUUGGGAGGCCACGCACUUACUGUAGUGAUGCUAGUAUUACUUAGAACAUUUUUGAAACUUUUCUUUUGAAAUCAUCUCCAAAGACAUUUUAUCAAACACACAGAAAAGCCACCUCGGUGUUUAUUAGUCACAAAUUACACUCCCUUGUCCUUGUGACCUUUCCUCUCUCCCUUUCUCAGUUUUGCUUUUCUUCUACUGGCUUAGCUCUCCUACCCCCCUAUUCUGGAGCUAGUAACCUAAGGAUGCCCAGAAAGGGGGUGUGCUGGCCAGAGUUCCUGGAGCAAGAACUUUUAGUUUUUAUUGAUGCUGAAUGCUGCAAAGGGAGAAUCCUAUGAGUCCAAAAACCUUUCUCUGUGGGCUGCCUGCCUGCCUGUAAGUGUCCUACGUAGUUUGCACAGGAGUAAGGACUGAAUACUGGUAAUAUCAAUCACAGGAAGUUGAGGAAGCCUGAAAUAUACAUAAAUCAUGUAUAACAUUUUCCUCCAGUGAAAAACGGAAACCAAACCAACCUAUGCUUUGUGUUAACUUAAAACUGAAAGGUCUUUCUCAGGGCCCCCUUUGCCCUUCAUUGCUGCCACUUGAAAUCUGGGAGGAAGAAUGAUGUAAAGCUUGGGAAAAAGGUUCUCCUGUGAAAUGGACAUGUUCUUCUCUUGUAAUCAAGCAUAACAUGUCUUUGGUUCUCAGGUACUUAUGAAUGUUAGACAAUGUUCGUAAGUAGUCAGAGGACUCAUAAAAGGUAGGAAAGCUUCCCCGGUAUCCUAAGAUAAUGUAAACAAUUGAGGUUCUGUUUGUGUUUUUAAACAACACUUCGUUUUGUUUCUAGCAAGUGGUUCUCACUAUUUAUAUUCAUUAAUUUGACACCAUUUUACAGAGAAACUUCUUGGGUAUUAUAAACAAUCAGUGGCAAAAUGUCCAUAUGUUAUCCACAUUGCCACCCUCGAAGAAAUUAUUUAUUUUUGGAGAUAAAAAAUAUUUAUGUGCAAAUUUAACAAAAGAAAUAAAUUGAAUAAAAAUGUAAAAAGGUGUCAGAGGCAAAUGAUUUACCCAAGAUCAAAGCUAGUUAGCACCACAGCUAGAAUUAUAACCAAGGUCUAAGAAAAAAAAUCCUCAAAGUAAUUUAACUGAGGUUUUGUUAUGUCAUAUUAAGUUGCCUGCUGAGGCUUAUGGACUUUCAGACCAGCUUUAACAUUCCAAACCAGGCAAUAGCAAUAGUGAAAAGGAAAUUGGGUGGGGAAUCAGGAGAUCAGAGGCUAGUUUUGGCUUUGUCUCUUGCAUAGUAAGCUUUUUCUCAGGGGUGCCUGCCUUCUCCUGCUCCAGCCAGGGAUUCGCCAACCAUAAACCUUAGGGGUUAGUAACUUGACUCUCUGCAUUCUUUAUACAUAGCCACUUACUGAGUCUUGUCAAUUCUACUUUGAAUGUUAGUUGCAUCUACUUAUAAAUAUAUUCAUGGUCAUCACUCUAGUAAAAAACUGUAUUUCCAUACACCCCCUGCCUCAUUUUCCCCAACUUUAAGCCAUUCCUCACAUCACUGCCACAAGAGUGAGAACUAGGUCCGUCUUCCAUUUUUCUGCUGAUUGUCAGUGGCUCCACUGAAUACUUGAUAAAGUUCAGACCCCUUCGGUUGGCAUUCACAGCUUGCCAUAUUCCGGCCCCAGCUUUAUCUCUUCAAACUCAACUACUCCCCAUCUGACAAUGCCACUGAGAAUCAGACAUUCCACAAAAAUGAUUUUAAAGUUUUUCUGUGAAGUUACAAACUGGCAAUAAACUGUUUACAUUUGUCCAGACGGAAAUAAUUUCUGUAAUACAUUUUACAGAACUAGUUAGCCCAAAAGUUGUUUCUUAAGGAAAACCUUUUGUCCCCCCAGAAGGAAUUAUAUUCAGUUUCUUAACCUCCAAAACAAUGUCAGUCCUGUUGCCUGUGUAUGUCCUAGCCAAAGCGGGGGGUUUUUUUUCAGCAACAUAGAUACUCCAGGCUUGAAUGGACCAUUGUCCAGCUCCUUUGAGAAACUUGACUAAUAAAUAUUUGAGAAAAACAACUCAAGAGUACAUGUUAUUCAUACAUUUCUCAAGUACUUGAGAUUUUCUUGUAUUAUGGUUAAUCAUUAAAAAGAUGUUUACCUGCGUUUUAGUAAAUCUCCUAAACAUAGUUUCCAUUUUAUUGUUAAACCCUUGAUGUUAGCAAGGGUCAGCACAAGAAAAGGCCCAAUGGUGAGAAUUUCUACAAAUUCUGUAAAGCUUACUGAAUUCAUUAUGUUGUUGAGUGGUGCUUGUAUAAGGAAACAUGCAAUAAAAUUCAUUCAACAAAGAUUGGACUGAAUGCCUGUUAUGUGUUGAGUACCAGGGCCAUAUAUAGAAAAAUAUUAGACCUGUAGAAUCUACCCUUGUGAACCAUUCUGGCUAAUGAAUUCAGAUCCAUAAAGCAAGAAGUCACAGUAACACAUGGUAAGUACCUUAAAAGAGGAAUGAACAAAGUUAAGACGGAGUGAUUUGCUCUGCCUGGAAACAGGAGAGGCUUGGUGGGACAUGUGUUACCUGAACAGUACCUGCAGGAAAGAUAUGCCUGACUGAAGACAGAGUUGUGGCCUUUGAGGUGGCAGAGGAAUUGCAUGUACGUAAGGCUGAAAACAUGAAAGAGCAUAGUGUGCUUACAGAAAACCAAGGAGUUAAAUGUGAGCGAUGAAGCUGGUAGGAUGGAAAUACAGAGAGAGUGGUAUUAUAUGUGUUUUUAACUUAAUAAUUCUUUGUUUAAAGGAAUCAAUGGGUUGCCUUGAUUCAGAUCAAGACUGUUACAACCCUCAGAGUUCCUCGUUUUGCCUUCCUGGCCGGUGAAGUUGGUAAUAAACCUCACCUUUGCCAGGGUUCUCAGUGUAUGCAGCCUAUUUGCUUUUCUUUCCCACAUGCAAGAAGUGAUUUGUGCUUUCUUGCCUCUCUGCUGUGAGAUCCCCUGCUUCAUAUUGAAUGCCUGCUUUCUUCCUGUCCUGCUAUUCAUUCCAUAAAUAUUUAUUGAAAACCCACUGAGAAAUAGUCACGAAAUUUACCUUUGACUGUCCAAGACUUUCAUGGUCCAGUUUUCCAUCUCUCUUUCUUGAUCACUGCAGUUCAUUGGCUCCCAUUUUCACUUGGGGCUAAUUCUGCGAUGUUCUACAACUUCAUAGUUGUAAACAUCUAUUGUCCGUGGUUGUUGGAUCUCCCCAACUAGACUGUAAGCUGCUUUCAGGGCAGGGACUUUAUCACCUGCUUCUUGGAGUAUUUCAUGGCAUGAAAUAACAGUGAUGAGAAGGAAGAAAUCAUACACACACACACACACACACACACACACACACACACACACCAGUAGUGACUUCCAGAUGACAAAUGAUGGGCUCAUAGUACGUGUGCUGCUCCAUCUUUCAGGGAUAUGUAUGGAAAUGUGAAAAAGCCUUCUAAGACCUUUCAAACCUUUGCUCAGUACCACUUUUGUAUAUUAACAUAGGAAUGAGGGAUGCAACAGAAGAAAUCUGGAAAAUACCUCCAGCACGUGGGAGCCAUGAACUGAAAAUUUCAGAAUUUGGAGGUUUUAUUGUUCAUAACAGUGGCCUGUUAUUUGGGUUAGAGUGAAGGUCAACAACUUGGGACUUCUUUAGCCUUCCCUUCUUGAAUCGCCCCUUCCCUGUUGAUACCUUGCCUAUCCUACAGGGUGGUCAUGAAGAUUAAAAGUAUUAGUACAUCUUAAGUGCCUAGAAUGGAGCUUGGCUCAUCAUAACUGCACAAAUCUUAGGGAUGCCCUCUUGGGCAGUGGUUACGGCAAGAAAACAGUCACAGUACCAGGCUUCCAAGACUGAUCUGAUCCUCCCUAUGGCAUGUGCAACUUUACACAUGGCAUCAAGAGUGGCCAUACAGCUUCCUAUCACCCACCCCAGUAAGUAAUAUGAGACACAGCGCAAGAUAGGCAAGUACAUGGUCUUUUACCUGAGUGGCCCAGACCUGGGAAACAGCAGGUUAGCAAUACCUAGCAAUGCUUUGCUAUUACAGUAAGAUAUUAAGAGAGAAAAAGGACAGCUGCUAUUAAUUCUCUUGGCAGAGUGCAUUCUAGUUAUGAUGUUUUCUUGUCCUUUGUUCAUUUAUUAUGGAAUUUGGCUUUUUUUUUUUUUCAUCAUAGAAUUACUGAUCUUACAGUGCUCCAGGUUGCUGGGAAUACAAAGACAUGAGUUCCUGCCUUCAUGGCACUCACAUGGUGAUAAGACAAAGGGAUACGUGUACUUCCAACAGUGUGUACUAGACUGGGUAUUCUAAAAUACAUAAACAAAGGUUUGUGGGACCACAGUGGGUGAGAACUGUCCUGGGCAUUGGAGGAUGCAUAGAAAGAAUUUAUUAGGCAAGGUAGUGGGGAGGAGGAGAGAAG
This is a long non-coding RNA of Herpailurus yagouaroundi (jaguarundi), 6028 nucleotides long. RefSeq lists it as uncharacterized. The record is from RefSeq and is a predicted model, not a curated record. Lineage: Eukaryota; Metazoa; Chordata; Mammalia; Carnivora; Felidae. The transcript is spliced from 3 exons.